This 565-nucleotide long non-coding RNA is filed under the name Mus caroli (Ryukyu mouse). RNAcentral describes it as "lncRNA (MGP_CAROLIEiJ_G0006659.1)". Lineage: Eukaryota; Metazoa; Chordata; Mammalia; Rodentia; Muridae. The record is from RNAcentral.
GACCGGAGCGCGCUCAAAGGCUGCCCGUCCAAAGGAGAGUCCAAUUCUUCAAACUUCAAAUGACAGUCCGGAGAUCCACUAGUUAAUCUGGACUAUAGGAGGAAUUCCGACACCUGACAAAAGACCGCGGCAUUCCUCAGGAACUUGUGAAGCUCUAGUUCCUGUCUAGGAAAAUGACUCAUUUCCCUUACCUCCAGCAAAAGUGACUUAUGGCUCUCCGAUUAACAUAUCAGCACAACAAGGUGCGAGCCCUGCAGCCUCCAGACUCCCUCAGUCCCUACAAGCACUUAUACAUUUCAAAGCCUGCUCACCAGUCCCCUGGCCCUUCCCACCCACCGAUUACUCACUCUUCUUGUUCACUAUUCUCCGCUCCUGCUGCUGCUUUUUCAAUAAAGCUUCCCCUAUUUUCUAUCAGUGGCCAUUUUCUUGUUUCUUGUACACAGUCCUGGCGAAGCCCAGUCUGCUGUGCAUGGUCAGUCUACUACUUUCUCUCUCUGCCCUGGACUCUUCUAGAUCCCUGUGGCUGUUCUCGCGCUCAUGUCUCCAAUAAAAACCUUAACCAUAA